CCUACGGGAGGCAGCAGUGAGGAAUAUUGGUCAAUGGGCGCAAGCCUGAACCAGCCACGUAGCGUGAAGGAUGACUGCCCUCCGGGUUGUAAACUUCUUUUAUAAGGGAGUAAAGUGAGUCACGUGUGCCUUUUUGUAUGUACUUUAUGAAUAAGGAUCGGCUAACUCCGUGCCAGCAGCCGCGGUAAUACGGAGGAUCCGAGCGUUAUCCGGAUUUAUUGGGUUUAAAGGGAGCGUAGAUGGGUUGUUAAGUCAGUUGUGAAAGUUUGGGGCUCAACUGCAAAAUUGCAAUUGAUACUGGCAGGCUUGAGUACAGGUGAGGUAGGCGGAAUUAGUGGUGUAGCGGUGAAAUGCUUAGAUAUCACGAAGAACUCCGAUUGCGAAGGCAGCUUACUAAACUGCAACUGACGUUGAGGCUCGAAAGUGUGGGUAUCAAACAGGAUUAGAUACCCUUGUAGUC
This 460-nucleotide ribosomal RNA is filed under the name uncultured bacterium. Its description in RNAcentral is "partial 16S ribosomal RNA". It matches the Rfam family "Bacterial small subunit ribosomal RNA", at positions 338 to 795 of the family's 1533-position model. The record is from RNAcentral.